GGGCGUGUGACUCAGUUGGUAGAGCGUUCGCUUUGCAUUAGAUUCUGCUUUAGGUACUUGUACCGAGAGUGCUUUCUGGCCCUGCCAGAUUGCGAAGACUUAUCUAUAAAUUCGAAAGGUCCUAAGUUCGAUUCUUAGCUCGUCCA
This is a non-coding RNA of Apodospora peruviana, 146 nucleotides long. Lineage: Eukaryota; Fungi; Ascomycota; Sordariomycetes; Sordariales; Lasiosphaeriaceae. The record is from the annotation of a GenBank genome assembly.